GCAUAUCAAUAAGCGGAGGAAAAGAAACCAACAGGGAUUGCCCCAGUAACGGCGAGUGAAGCGGCAACAGCUCAAAUUUGAAAUCUGGCCCUUGGGUCCGAGUUGUAAUUUGAAGAGGAUGCUUUUGGUGCGGUGCCUUCCGAGUUCCCUGGAACGGGACGCCAUAGAGGGUGAGAGCCCCGUCUGGUUGGAUGCCAAACCUCUGUAAAGCUCCUUCGACGAGUCGAGUAGUUUGGGAAUGCUGCUCAAAAUGGGAGGUAUAUGUCUUCUAAAGCUAAAUAUUGGCCAGAGACCGAUAGCGCACAAGUAGAGUGAUCGAAAGAUGAAAAGCACUUUGAAAAGAGGGUUAAAUAGUACGUGAAAUUGUUGAAAGGGAAGCACUCAUGACCAGACUUGGGCCCGGUGAAUCAUCCAGCGUUCUCGCUGGUGCACUUUGCCGGCCCAGGCCAGCAUCAGUUCGUCGCGGGGGAAAAAGGCUUCGGGAACGUGGCUCCCUCGGGAGUGUUAUAGACCGUUGCAUAAUACCCUGUGAUGGACUGAGGUUCGCGCUCCGCAAGGAUGCUGGCGUAAUGGUCAUCAGUGACCCGUCUUGAAACACGGACCAAGGAGUCGUCCUCGUAUGCGAGUGUUCGGGUGUCAAACCCCUACGCGUAAUGAAAGUGAACGUAGGUGAGAGCUUCGGCGCAUCACCGACCGAUCCUGAUGUUCUCGGAUGGAUUUGAGUAAGAGCAUACGGGGCCGGACCCGAAAGAAGGUGAACUAUGCCUGUAUAGGGUGAAGCCAGAGGAAACUCUGGUGGAGGCUCGCAGCGGUUCUGACGUGCAAAUCSMUCGUCAAAYA
This 840-nucleotide ribosomal RNA is filed under the name Calcarisporium arbuscula. RNAcentral describes it as "LSU rRNA". It matches the Rfam family "Eukaryotic large subunit ribosomal RNA", at positions 38 to 911 of the family's 3401-position model. Lineage: Eukaryota; Fungi; Ascomycota; Sordariomycetes; Hypocreales; Calcarisporiaceae. The record is from RNAcentral.